RNAcentral lists this ribosomal RNA (253 nucleotides) under uncultured bacterium. RNAcentral's name for it is "partial 16S ribosomal RNA". It matches the Rfam family "Bacterial small subunit ribosomal RNA", at positions 524 to 776 of the family's 1533-position model. The record is from RNAcentral.
UACGUAGGGACCAAGCGUUGUUCGGAUUUACUGGGCGUAAAGGGCGCGUAGGCGGCAUGACAAGUCACUUGUGAAAUCUCCGGGCUUAACUCGGAACGGUCAAGUGAUACUGUCGCGCUAGAGUGCGGAAGGGGCAAUCAGAAUUCUUGGUGUAGCGGUGAAAUGCGUAGAUAUCAGGAGGAACACCGGUGGCGAAGGCGGGUCUCUGGGCAGUAACUGACGCUGAGGAGCGAAAGCGUGGGGAGCGAACAGG